CUAACUUGAGAUGUUCUACAAAUCAUGCAGUCAACUUCCGUGUGUGUGGGAAAGCUGCAAGGAUGAUUACAUUGACGGCACGAAACCAAUUUAAAAUAAAAGAAGCAGAGGACUGCAUUUCCAGAGAAUUUUUUUUUCUUGGUUUCUCAACAAAUUAUGUGUUCCUAGAAGCUCAGUGGCCCCUAACCAGAAGUGUUUGAACCCAGAACUGGCCAGGUGGGUAGUGUGGGUUUGGAGACACUCGGGAUGUUCUGUGAAUGCCUCUGCUCUCUCUUGGAAAAGGCCAUUCCAGUCCCAUCUGAAGUGCCAGAGCUGAGAUUGUGUUUGUCACUCAGUGCAGAAAAACUGUAAUGAUCCUCUGAUGACAAUGCCCAUGGACUUGACCUACAAAUCACUUGAAUGACACAAUCCUAAUUCUAUUGAAGGGGUGAACCCUAAACUUGACGUGACCCCUUAAAAUCUUCCCAGCCUUUUCUGACUUCAGG
This is a long non-coding RNA of Parus major (Great Tit), 485 nucleotides long. NCBI's taxonomy places the organism in Eukaryota, Metazoa, Chordata, Aves, Passeriformes, Paridae. The record is from Ensembl.